This 6601-nucleotide long non-coding RNA is filed under the name Theobroma cacao (cacao). RNAcentral describes it as "long non-coding RNA (TCAC_LNC002196)". The record is from RNAcentral. Lineage: Eukaryota; Viridiplantae; Streptophyta; Magnoliopsida; Malvales; Malvaceae.
AAAAAUCAAUAAUCUAUUCUAUUCCCAUUCCACUUAUAUCUCACUCCCGUGUCACAUGAUACAACUGACCCAUUUACAUGAAUCUAUAAUCAAGCCCCGUAUUGUGUACAAAGAUUCUCCAAACUGCUUCACACCUACAUUAGGAUCCCAAAAAGAAGUAAAUACUGUUACAACCACCAAUUAAGAGUCCAGAAGCUUUUAAACAAAAAGAAAUAACCUUGAAUGAAAACCCGUUAAAAUAUUAAAAACAAAUAUCAUACGUAACCAUAACCGAAUUUGUUAGCGACAGCCUCUGAAAACAGAGAGUCAAGAAAAACCAAAAAAAAGGAAAAAAUAUGGUAACCUAAAAACAAAUAACACAAAGGCCAAACGAAGACUUAUCAAUUUUCUCCAUCAGGAUGGCCAGCCAACGAAAAACUGCACAUGAAGGCCAACAUCAUGCGAACAGCUAUUAAGGACAAGUUUUCAAAAAGGAAGAUGAAGGUCAAAAAGAACAGUGGCAGAGCUUGAAAAACCAGAAAAGUAUCUUCUGCAACCUACAAUCACCAUCUUAUUUCUCCACUGGAUCCAACUCAAUCACUUAGAUGCACACAUAUAGCUAUCAAUCACAAAUGCAAGAAAAAUAGCAAAAACACUGUCCCAACUAGCAAGGACAUCCACAAUCCUUCGAAACUAGCAAGUGAUCACCGGAAUCUUUCCAAACCUAUAACACUACCACACAAACCUUCAGGAUAUUCACAAUCUUUCAAAACUAGCAAGUGAUCACCGGAAUCUUUCCAAACCUAUAAAACUACCACACAAACCUGUACUUCUCCUGAGCUAUUCAAACAAAUUUUGGGUAAAUGUAAGACAGAGACAAUUAAAAUAGCAUUCUCACUUUCUCAUCUACUUACCUAAUCCCUUCCUGAGCUCCAUCCACAAAUAGAUAAACAGCUAUAUAAGAUCUCAUUCUCCCUGCAUAUUGCUAAUAAUUUCAAACAGUAGCAUCUAGAGACCAAAGAAUCAAGAACACGUAAGCACAAAAAGCAAUCAAAAAGCAAUAUACUGCAUGAAAAACUAGGAAAAGAAGACAUUCCAAAACAAAGAAUAAAAGAAGUGCAAAACUAUUAAGAAAAAAUAACCCCCCUUCAAACUGGCAGCAAGAUCCUUAUCCUUGCCCUUCCUGCUCUUAAUUUUGGAAACUGAUAACACAUCUGCAUCUAAAAUAAUGAAGAGACAAAAAUUCAUAUCAUGCUCACUGACAUUAACUACACAGGAUCUUAAAAAUUCCAAAACUAGAGAAUUUUGAGUGACAUGAUAAGAACCAGGAAAGCAUGUCUCCUUGGAGUUAAGGCAUUCCAAAAUUGAAUAUCCAAGACACCCUGAUAAACAAAACCAUAAAAAGACAUUAAAAGCAAAAAAUCCAAGACGCCCUAAAGUUCACAAUCUUAGACAAUGAAAUACAAUUUCCAUAUGCAUUAGUCAACAGAACUUCAAAAACCAGAAAAUAUCUGCGGCUACCUACAGUCACAAAAUACAUAUAGAAUUCCAAGCACAAACAAGAGAAAAAUGUUUGCGUAUAAGAUUGCGACCCCAAUUAGCAAGUGACGUCCACAAUCUUUUGACACUAGCAAGUGACCACUAGAAUCUUUCAAAACCUGACAACAACCAUACAAACCGUACUUUAUCUCAAGUCUUAAGCAAACAAUAGGUCAAUGUGAGACAAAUAUUUAAAGUGGUCAUCCAUUAUCGCUUUUCAUCAACUCACCUCCCUCUAAACCUCCAUCCACAAAGAUAUGAGAUAACAAUCUCCUUCUCCUGCGGAAAGCUAAAUUGCUAAUAGUUCCUAAUAGCAACCUGACCCAAGAAUCAAGAACAUAUUAAUGGCAAAAAACAACCAGGAACAACACACGGUCAUCCAUGUCCUUCAUAAUAAUUCUGGAAAUUCAUAACACCAAACACUCAGCUAAAUAAUAAAAGGGUCAAAAAUUCAUAUCAAGCUCCUUACCAACACACGGUCCACCAAAACCAAGUAUUUUAGAGUGUUAUAGUGGUGGUCACUACUCACAACACGGAAGGAGAGACAUUCCUAGUAAUAGUGGCGAUCACGGCCAUGAAGAAGAUCAAGGAUCAGCACUUUAGAAAAGGAAAGCCAGCAACAUCACCGCAGGCAGAAACCAUAUAUUGAAAUAUCUUCCAAAAUCGCAAAACAAAACAAGAAAAAUAUAACUCGUAAUAGAAGAAGGGAACACAAAAGAACCAUCUGUUCAUCCACACAACAAAUUUCGUGAAAAGAAAGCCAAAACGCAUUAUGUUCAAAAUUGAAUGGUACCAAAACUUUUGUGAAAACCCUGAGAAGAAUAAAUAUCAAAACAGAUAGAUUUAAUAAGAUCUCAAUAAAAAGAUUGAGUUGGGCAAUGAAGGCCACGAGGAAGUUUAGGGAUCAGCAGUUUAGAAAAGGAAAGCCAGCAACAUCACUGCAAGCAGAAACCAUAUAUUUAAAUACCAUAAAGAAGCUGGAAGCAAUCUUCUUGAGAAUUAUCACAAAACCGGAAAUCCAAGAGGCAUGAUCAAACAAAGCCAUAACAGAUACUGACAGCAUUAAAAACUAAGAGGCCCUGAGACAAGGGUGGAAAAAUAUUUUAAAAAGAACAUAUGUAACCAUAUUAUAAAUUCAGUGUUAUGUGCAGAAGGUAGAAUCUAUAAUAAAAAUAGGGUCAAUACACUCAUAUCCCACUCAGUAACAUAACUCCACAAGAUCCUAAAAGCUUGAAAACAAAAGACUAUAAAGAAAUACAAUAAGAACCAGGAAGCAAAUCUCCUUGAGAGUUUAAACGGUGUUCCAAGAUUGAAAAUCCAAGAGAGCCUCAUCAAACAAAACCAUAAAAGAUACUAAGAGCAUUAAAAACUAAUAGACCCUGAAACAAGGAUGGAAAAAUUAAAAAAAAAAAAAAAAAUAUUUAAACUUAUGUGCUUAAGGUAGAAUCUCCAUAACUGAAGUUGUUAACAACAGCCUAUGAUAACAAAGAGUCAAGAUAAACCAAAAAACAAGGAAAAAGAUGGUGACCUAAAAACAAAUAACACAAAGGCCAAACAACAUUUUUUUAAAAAAAUAAAAAACUGAAAGUGAAAGAUCCUGCAACAGCUAAAAACAAUACAAUAGCAAGAAAUGAAGACUUAUCAAUUUUCUCCAUCAGGAUGGCCAGCCAACAAACCACUGCACAAGAAAGCCAACAUCACACAAACAGAUAUUAAGGACAAGCUUUCAAAAAAUAAGAUGAAGAUCAAACAAAAGCUCAACCAAUUUGAAGUCCUUAACGGGCCACAUCUUCCACACAUUUACCUUGUGCCAACUAAAUUAGCAAGAACAUGCUCUAAAAUUAAAAAAAAAACUCUAUAAAUACAAUUUCUAACAACAUGCUACAUUUCUGCUGCCUAGACUUUAAAUAAAUAUCGACUUCCAAAUGAUGCAAAGAUCCGAAUCACACACUAAGAACAACGAGAAAAGUAAAAUCUCAACUGACAGAACUUGUAAACUCCAAUGAAUCUGUCCAACCUACAAACACAAACAGAUCCCCACAGAAUAUAAAUCCUGCAAUAAGAACUCAAACUCGCAACAAAAAACAAAAUUAGCAUAUAAAGUCAACAUCCAAAAUAUCACAUAAAUGCCUGCUAAUCCUAUGUCAUCUUUUUCAGUCAAAUGAAAUCCAUUCAAUUUGAAAUCCUCUCUAACUAACAUGUUUCAGACAUUUAUAUAAACCAGUUAAAGAAAGACCUCAAAAAUGCAAGAAAUGAAAGCACAAAUGACAUAUAAAUCAGUGGCAGAACUUGAAAAACCAGAAAAGUAUCUUCUGCAACCUACAAUCACAGAUACACACAUAUAAUAAACGCAAGAUAAAUGUCCGCAUAAAAUCACUGUCCCAAUUAGCAUGGACAUUCACAAUCUUUCGAAACUAGCAAAUGAUCAUCGGAAUCUUUCCAAACCUAUAAAACUACCACACAAACCUGUACUUCUCUUGAACUAUUUAAGCAAUUUUUUGAUAAAUUUAAGACAGACAAUAAAAAUAGCAUUCUCACCUUCUCAUCUACUUACCUAAUCCCUCCUUCCCGAGGUCCAUCCCCAAAGAAAUAACAAAGCUAUAUUAGAUCUCAUUCUCCCUUCGUUUUGCUAAUAAUUUCUAACGGCAGCAUCUGGAGACCCAAGAAUCAAGAACACAUAAGCACAGAAACCAAUCAAAAAGCAAUAUACUACAGGAAAAACUAGAAAAAUAGAUGCUCCAAAACAAAGAAUAAAAGAACUGCAACCCCAUUCCAACUGGCUGCAAGAUCCUUCAUCCUUGCCCUUCCCGCUUUUAAUUUUGGAAACUGAUAAUACAUCACAUCAUGAAGAGACAAAAUCAUAUCAUGCUCAGGUACACAUGAUCCUAAAAACUCCAAAACAAAAGAAUUUUGAGUGAUACGAUAAGAACCAGGAAAGCAAGCCUCCUUGGAGUAGAGCCAAUCCAGAAUUGAAUAUCCAAAAGAACCUGAUCAAACAAAACCAUAAAAAGAUAUUGAAAGCAAAAAAUCCAAGAAGCCCUAAAGUUCAUAAUCCAAGACAAUGAAACACAAUUUCCAUUAGCAUUAGUCAACAGAACCUCAAAAACCAGAAAAUUUCUGUGGCUACUUACAAUCUAUGAACACAAACAAGAGAAACAUUUCUGUAUAUAAGAUUACGACCCCAGCUAGCAAAAGAAGUCCUCAAUCUUUCGACAUAGCAAAUGACCAUAAGAACCUUUCAAAACCUGUACAACGAUCACACAAACCGUACUAUGCAAAGAUCUCAAUGGUAAAAGCUCAACCAAUUUGAAGUCCUUAAUGGGCCACAUCUUCCACACAUUUACCCUGUGCCAACAAAUUAUCGGGAACAUGCUCUAAAUUAACAAAAAAAAACUAUAUAAAUACAAUUUCUAACAACAUGCUUCAUUUCUGCUGCCUAGACUUUAAAUAAAUAUCAACUUCUAAACAAUGCAAAGAUCCAAAUCAGACACUAAGAACAAUGAGAAAAGCAAAAUCUCAACUGACAGAACUUGUAAACUCUAAUGGACCUGUCCAACCUACUAACACAAACAGAUCCCAACAGAAUAUAAAUCCCACAAUAAGAACUCAAACUCACAACCAAAAAAAAUUAGCAUAUAAAGUCAACAUCCAAAUUAUCACAUAAAUGCCUGCUAAUCCUAUGGCAUCUUGUUCAGUUAAAUGAAAUCCUUUCAAUUUGAAAUCCUCUCAAGCUAACAUGUUUCAGACAUUUAUAUAAACCAGAUAAAAGAAGAACUCAAAAAAUCCAAGAAAUGAAAGCACAAAUGACAUAUAAACCAGUGCAAGAACUUGAAAAACUAGAAAAGUAGCUUCUGCAACCUACAAUCACAAAUGCACACAUAUAGCUACCAAUAAUAAAAGCAAGAAAAAUGUCUGCAUAAAAUCACUGUCCCAAGUAGCAAGGACAUUCACAAUCUUUCAAAGCCAGCAAGUGAUCACCGGAAUCUUUCCAAACCUAUAAAACUACCACACAAACCUGUACUUCUCUUGAGCUAUUCAAGUGAAUUUUGGGUAAAUGUAAAACAGAAACAAUUAAAAUGGCAUUCUCACUUUCUCAUCUACUUACCAAAUCCCUCCUUCCCGAGCUUGAUCCACAAAGAGAUAACACAGCUAUAUAAGAUCUCAUUCUCACUGCAUAUUGCUACUAGCAUCAAACAGCAGCAUCUGGAAACCAAAGAAUCAAAGACAUGGAAGCACAGAAAGCAAUCAAAAAGCAAUAUACUGCACGAAAAACUAGAAAAAUAAGAUGUUCCAAAACAAAGAAUAAAAGAAGUGCAAAACAAUUAAGAAAAUAUAACCACCAGUCCAACUGGCAGCAAGAUCCUUCAUCCUUGCCCUUCCUGCUCUUAAUUUUGGAAACUGAUAACACAUCAGCAUCAAAAAUAAUGAAGAGAAAAAGAAUCAUAUCAUGCUCAGUGGCAUUAACUAGACAGGAUCUUCAAAACUCAAGCUAGAGAAUUUUGAGUGAUACAAUAAGAACCAGGAAAGCAAGUCUCCUUGGAGUUGAAACAGUCCAAAAUUGAAUAUCCAAGAGACCCUGAUCAAACAAAACCAUAAAAAGAUAUUGAAAGCAAAAAAUCCCCAGAGACCCUAAAGUUCACAAUCCAAGACAAUGAAACAAAAUUUCCAUAUGCGUUAGUCAACAGAACUUCAAAAACCAGAAAAUAUCUGUGGCUACCUACAAUCACCAAAUACAUAUAGAAUUUCAAGCACAAACAAGAGAAAAAUAUCUGCAUAUAAUAUUACAACCCCAGCUAGCAAGUGACGUCCACAAUCUUUCGACACAAGCGAGACAAACAUUGAAAUAUCUGAAGUCUUAAGCAAACAACAGAUCAAUGUGAGACAAACAUUUAAGUGGUGUUUUUUUAUUGCUUUUCAUCAACUCACCAAUCCCUCCCUCCAAAGCUCCAUCCACAAAGAUAUGAGAUGAUAAUCUAUGGAAUGCUAAAUUCCUAAUAGUUCCUAAUAGCAGCCUGACCCAAGAAUCAAGAACAUAUUAAGGGCAAAAACCAAUCAAGAGCAACAGUGUGCAAAAGGAAAAAAA